UGUUCUGAGACAUCCUUCAGAGGCGCA
RNAcentral lists this non-coding RNA (27 nucleotides) under Homo sapiens (human). Lineage: Eukaryota; Metazoa; Chordata; Mammalia; Primates; Hominidae. The record is from RNAcentral.